ACGAAGAUGGCGACAUUGCCAAGUUAUAGCGGAUCACUUCUGGGCCAGGUUCAUUCGGAGUUAUUUGCCAACCUUGCAGCACAGGCAGAAGUGGCAUGGAGCCCCAGAGGAUCUGACAGUGGGCUCAGUAGUUCUGUUGAUAGACCCACAGUUCCCCAGAGCACUCUGGCCCAUUGGUAGAGUGGUUGCAGUACAUUGUAGUGCAGAUGGUCACGUGAGGUCUGCGGAUAUCCAAGUCAAGGAUAAGGUUUAUACCAGACCCGUUGCCCGGCUGAUUACUCUUCCAACGAUACCUGACACUGAAGUGGAUGAGCAAUGCACUCCAGGUGCAACAGAUUCAACUUAGCCUUUUGCGGAGACAAAUUGCACACAAUUUGGGGGCGGCUGUGCAAAAGGCGAUAAAGAGAGCUACAGAGUACUGCUGCAUUGAAUCUGUUGAGGACUUUGAUUUUGAAAUAUGUACAUCACGUAUCGGUGCGUGUGGGCGCAUACGUGCCGACGUCAGUAUGAACCAAUCGACAGUCUGUGUCUGUGACAUUUAGCGAUCGGUCUCUCCGCAUAACUAGUGCCAGAGAUGUUCAUUGUCAUUUAUCAGCCUCAGCUUGACUGUAUUUGUGCUGUGUGCGUCCUGUAGAAGAAUAAACCACACACUUCCACAAACUUGUAUGCAUAUGUCCUGCACAUAUCUACAAUACAUCAAGCUCUCAUCCUUUGAUAAUCAUCCAGCCUGUCGUGAGUCAAACCAACUGCAGUAAAGAUCACACAGUGGAUAGCCUGUACAUUUGAUUCCAUUCUGGAUGGAUAUAACUUGCACUUGAUUCAGCUUCAUCAUCUCGAUGUUCUCUGAUGCUGCAAUUACAGAGAUUGAACAGAGCUAAGAAUAUUCAUCUAAUCUGAGUUUAUAAAGCAGCCCAUCGACUGAACAAAAUACCCAAACCUCUCAUCGUGAACAAGCUCAUAUUACAGUAUCCUGACAUUUAACCACUGCAGUUUAUGUAAAGGCUGUCUUCCCUCACCAAUGUUAAUCAUCAUACUUUAUGAUUAUUAAACGUAUUGAAACUAA
Molecule: long non-coding RNA, 1063 nt
Organism: Carassius gibelio (silver crucian carp)
Lineage: Eukaryota; Metazoa; Chordata; Actinopteri; Cypriniformes; Cyprinidae
Exons: 2
Source: RefSeq, a predicted model, not a curated record